This 506-nucleotide ribosomal RNA is filed under the name uncultured bacterium. RNAcentral describes it as "partial 16S ribosomal RNA". It matches the Rfam family "Bacterial small subunit ribosomal RNA", at positions 30 to 523 of the family's 1533-position model. The record is from RNAcentral.
AUUGAACGCUGGCGGCAGGCCUAACACAUGCAAGUCGAACGGUAACAGGAAACAGCUUGCUGUUUCGCUGACGAGUGGCGGACGGGUGAGUAAUGUCUGGGAAACUGCCUGAUGGAGGGGGAUAACUACUGGAAACGGUAGCUAAUACCGCAUAACGUCGCAAGACCAAAGAGGGGGACCUGCGGGCUUCUUGCCAUCGGAUGUGCCCAGAUGGGAUUAGCUAGUAGGUGGGGUAACGGCUCACCUAGGCGACGAUCCCUAGCUGGUCUGAGAGGAUGACCAGCCCCGGUGGAACUGAGACACGGUCCAGACUCCUACGGGAGGCCGCAGUGGGGAAUAUUGCACAAUGGGCGCAAGCCUGAUGCAGCCAUGUCGCGUGUAUGAAGAAGGCCUUCGGGUUGUAAAGUACUUUCAGCGGGGAGGAAGGGAGUAAAGUUAAUACCUUUGCUCAUUGACGUUACCCGCAGAAGAAGCACCGGCUAACUCCGUGCCAGCCGCCGCAGUAA